ACUCCUACGGGAGGCAGCAGUGGGGAAUAUUGGACAAUGGGGGGAACCCUGAUCCAGCCAUGCCGCGUGUGUGAAGAAGGCCUUUUGGUUGUAAAGCACUUUAAGUGGGGAGGAGGCUUACCUGGUUAAUACCUAGGAUAAGUGGACGUUACCCACAGAAUAAGCACCGGCUAACUCUGUGCCAGCAGCCGCGGUAAUACAGAGGGUGCGAGCGUUAAUCGGAUUUACUGGGCGUAAAGCGCGCGUAGGUGGUUAAUUAAGUCAAAUGUGAAAUCCCCGAGCUUAACUUGGGAAUUGCAUUCGAUACUGGUUAGCUAGAGUAUGGGAGAGGAUGGUAGAAUUCCAGGUGUAGCGGUGAAAUGCGUAGAGAUCUGGAGGAAUACCGAUGGCGAAGGCAGCCAUCUGGCCUAAUACUGACACUGAGGUGCGAAAGCAUGGGGAGCAAACAGGAUUAGAUACCCUGGUAGU
RNAcentral lists this ribosomal RNA (468 nucleotides) under uncultured bacterium. RNAcentral describes it as "bacterial SSU rRNA". It matches the Rfam family "Bacterial small subunit ribosomal RNA", at positions 335 to 794 of the family's 1533-position model. The record is from RNAcentral.